Molecule: transfer RNA, 74 nt
Filed under: bacterium
Lineage: Bacteria
Also listed under: 6 other names
Description: tRNA-Met
Rfam family: tRNA
About the family: Transfer RNA (tRNA) molecules are approximately 80 nucleotides in length. Their secondary structure includes four short double-helical elements and three loops (D, anti-codon, and T loops).
Source: RNAcentral
GGCAGGGUAGCUCAGGUGGUUAGAGCACGGCACUCAUAAUGCCGGGGUCGUGGGUUCGAGUCCCACCCCUGCUA